AUUACUGCUAGCUCUUGUAAUGUGUUCUUCUCAGUUCGUCAUGUGUUCAUGCAGGCAACACAGGACCACCAUGGCUGCAGAGUUCUGAUGACUCUACGGAGCUCCAGAGAGUAAACUGCGGCGGACUCCUCGGUGCUCUUCAGGAGAAGUCCGACGGAGGAUCCUUGACAGGUUCACUUCGAAGAUUCUUAGGCAUGUCUAACGUAACAGGAAAGGGAGAUCCGAUGAUGACCACAGGCUGCAGCGCCGCCGGGGUUCUUCCCAAAGUUGUGGCAGAACGAAGGAAGCGGACGAUAAGUAGGGAUCCUGCAAACAAGAAUCAAACACCUUCUUCACCAUCAUCAAAGAACCCGAAGACAAUGUGUUCGAAGACGAUGGCCAGAAUGCCGCUCAUCAAAGCACCUGCGAGGAGAAGCCAGAAGCUAGGGGACAAAAUAACAGCUCUUCAGCAGCUCGUUUCUCCCUUCGGGAAGGUGAACACAUCGCUCGUCUCCAUUUACUACACUGAAUGCAUACACCAUUCCUGUUUAUGACGCGCAGGCAGAUACCGCAUCGGUUCUUCACGAGGCUGCUCUUUCGAUCAAGUUCCUCCACGAACAAAUAGAGAUGCUGACUGCUCCUUACUUCGGUAUGAGAUCCCCGGAAGAAGGUGAUGAGGUAAUCGAUCUGAGUCUCUUUUUGUGGCGGUUGAAGAACAAUCAUUGCAUCUGUGUGUGUAAUUCUCAGGGCCUCGCAGACAGCAAUGCUGAGUUGCAAAGCAGAGGACUGUGCCUUGUCCCUGUCUUCGCCAUGGUUGAACUCCUGGAUCAAGAAGACUAUGGCCUCAACUUCUAUUGAGUUCCAUAACUUUUACCAACGUGGGUUGUCUGCCUCUGCCAAGUACUUGACUUCUUCUUCAAGCAAGAUCCGAUUUAGUUGUCGUUCAAAAGAGAUGAUCAUA
Musa acuminata AAA Group (dessert banana) is the source of this 940-nucleotide long non-coding RNA. RefSeq lists it as uncharacterized. The transcript is spliced from 5 exons. The record is from RefSeq and is a predicted model, not a curated record. Lineage: Eukaryota; Viridiplantae; Streptophyta; Magnoliopsida; Zingiberales; Musaceae.